CAAAUCAAAAUGUUCCAUCCAGACUUCUGUGUUACCGCACUGCUACCAGUAUAUUUCAAAAUUUGAGCCCUUCCACCUCUAAAAAUUACGAAAUUCUGUGGCAUCCCCAGUUUGUCGAAUCUGGAUCAGAUAGGAUUAUUAAUAUAGCCAGAAGGAACAAAUCAAUUCGCUUUUGCUAAGAAAGACCGCCACGUGCUCACUCUUUUGCUGCCUCUCUCUCUUACCUACUCUUCGUGAUGCAAUGUGUGCGUCCUCUGGCGGAGAGGAGCCAUACUGACUGGUAUAAAUGUAGAGUCGCGGCCGUGGCUGCAACUCACAACGUUCCUCCUUGCUUAUCUGUGGAAAUUACAAAUUUCUGUAUACGUUUUAGUACUAUGAAUGUAUACAUACGUAAAUAUUUUUACGAGAAAAUGAACUAAUCAACCACUGUGCGACUGCUAGUUUUGCCGGCUUGGAUGUUCCCGAUGAUGCACUUGAAAUGUUGCAACCGAUACCGCUGAAAGUCGAACUUUGUUUUAUAUAAUUUUUAGAGUAACAGCCGUUUAGUGGAGUUCACUUUUUCUGCCCUGCCGCAAAUGACAGACUAAAGGUCACCUCCAUACUGUUUGAGAGCAAACCACAACAAAACUUAACCAGCAGAUAUAUUCGCCAUUCUUCCGGUCGACAUUGAAACCCGUGCGUUUCGGCAAACAUACUCAUAGAUCCAUUAACAGUUUUCUGCUAACAAAACGCUACUUGAGCCGGUACAGGGUGCAGCACAGCCUUUUGUUUGC
Drosophila pseudoobscura is the source of this 773-nucleotide long non-coding RNA. RefSeq lists it as uncharacterized. The transcript has 3 exons. The record is from RefSeq and is a predicted model, not a curated record. NCBI's taxonomy places the organism in Eukaryota, Metazoa, Arthropoda, Insecta, Diptera, Drosophilidae.